UACGAGGGGUGCAAGCGUUAUUCGGAUUUAUUGGGCGUCAAGGGUGCGUAGACGGCAUGCUAAGUCAACUGUUAAAUUCCUCGGCCUAACUGAGGAUCAGCGGUAGAAACUGGCGCGCUUGAGGGGGAGAGAGAGAAGUGGAAUUCUCGGAGUAGCUGUAAAAUGCGUAGAUCUCGAGAGGACCACCGAUGGCGAAGGCAGCUUAUUGGCUCAUUUCUGACGUUGAGGCACGAAAGCGUGGGGAGCAAACAGG
Molecule: ribosomal RNA, 253 nt
Filed under: uncultured bacterium
Lineage: Bacteria
Description: partial 16S ribosomal RNA
Rfam family: Bacterial small subunit ribosomal RNA
Source: RNAcentral